This 253-nucleotide ribosomal RNA is filed under the name uncultured bacterium. Its description in RNAcentral is "partial 16S ribosomal RNA". It matches the Rfam family "Bacterial small subunit ribosomal RNA", at positions 524 to 776 of the family's 1533-position model. The record is from RNAcentral.
UACGUAGGGGGCAGGCGUUAAUCGGAAUUACUGGGCGUAAAGCGUGCGCAGGCGGCUUCCUAAGUCAGAUGUGAAAUCCCCGGGCUCAACCUGGGAACUGCGUUUGAAACUGGGAGGCUAGAGUGCGGCAGAGGGGGGUGGAAUUCCACGUGUAGCAGUGAAAUGCGUAGAUAUGUGGAGGAACACCGAUGGCGAAGGCAGCCCCCUGGGCCAGCACUGACGCUCAUGCACGAAAGCGUGGGGAGCAAACAGG